Molecule: long non-coding RNA, 238 nt
Filed under: Lathyrus oleraceus (garden pea)
Lineage: Eukaryota; Viridiplantae; Streptophyta; Magnoliopsida; Fabales; Fabaceae
Description: Pisum sativum (pea) long non-coding RNA (PSAT_LNC023975)
Source: RNAcentral
AAAUACAUAGCAUAGGCAUGGAAACAAAAUUCAUGAACAUGGCAUAACAUAGUGUGACACACAUUGUCACACUCAACUUGAUCACAUCAUAUCUUUCAAUCCAGAAAAGCAAAAUUAGCAAACUAUACAUCAAAAUCACCAAAAAAGAGUCAAGAAUAUGCAUGUAAAAUUUCACCAAUUUUGGAUAAGGCAUCAUUAUUUCAUAAUCAAUAUGGCAAAACAUACACAUAAAUGACAC